AAUUUCACCGCGCGUCGAGGGAGUAGGCGGUCGGAGGAGAAGGCGGCGGUUUUGAUCUGUGAUCUGCCUCGACCUGGGAGGUGGCGGCGGUUUCGAUUUGUGAUCUGCCACGGCGUGGGAGGCGGCAGAUCGAUCCGGUCGGAUGCGCCCGCGCUGCUGCGCUGUACCUCCUCCCAUUCGAGCAGAUCGGCUGAUGAGGCAGAUUGGCCGCAGGUGGCGGAUCCGUGGAUAUGAGGUGUUGGAAAUGCGGUUCAGAGUGACGAGAUGAGGAAGCUCAUGUGGCGCUGCUAUCGGAAGGAACAUCUACUCCGCUGGAAUAACACCAACAUAGGAAGAGGCUCUCCAAUAUGAUAUUGAAUCAACUGAUACGAAUACUGUGGCUGAAGCACUUGCAAGGUCCAAGAAGGGUUAGUAAUUAUAUCGCUGCGUGCAUCUUUCCUCACCCUAAUUAGUUCCUUACCAGGAGAUGAGUCCAUGCAUGCAGAGUAUGUCUGGUUCCCAAAAACUCUUGUCACCAGCCACUAUCUACGUAUACGAGUGGUCUAUAUGAUACCAAAAUCUUAGCAUCAAUGUAUCACUGCAAUUUUCUGUGUCAUCUGAAUUUAGCUGCAGGAAUUGUUGUAUCUUUGCCUUUCUUCUUCAUAUUCUACUAGAUCGGUGCUACUAACUGUUUGAGUAUUUCUCAAUUAGACUGAUUGUGUUGUUGUAGUUCUCUGAUUUUGGAAAUUGGAAGACAAAAACAACUCUUCACCCUGAACUUUUUUUAAUUGUACCAUUGCUGUUGGAGAUUUUGGUGCCCGGAAAUAAAGAUAAUAGGAUAUGAUGUACAUACAACAACAUCCAUCCUCACUAACAGUGGUGUUACUGGUUGUGGCUGCACUGCAAUUGCAAAUUCUGUCUACGAGUGGACAGUAAAUCAACAACAAAGCAUGAUAAAGGCAAAUGAUAUGUUUCUUCCUGGCCAGAUGGCAUUUAUUUUACAAUAUGGAGAAUAGAGUUAACAGUGAUAUUCCAACAUUUCUCUUCACAGGAGCAAAGUUGUUUGCCCUGUCCCAGAGGCAAUGAUCAUUGUCAGCGUGGAUGGCUCUGUCUGUACUUGACACGAUUGCCAACAUCAUGUCAUACCUUACACUUGGAUCAUCAGGGAAGGUCUUCAAGAAGAAGAAAUGGAAGAGGUAUACAAAAGGAUUCAAAGAUGAUUAGUACCUGCUUUUCAUGGUUAUUCAAGUCGAGUGCUGAGUGGAUUCUAUGCUAAUCUUAAUCAAAUAGCCAGGACUAAUUAGAGCGGUCCCUACCAUGUAAAUUGUAGUUCAAGGGAUACUUAGUCACUACUAUGUAAAUUGUAGUUGAACAGAUACUCCAUUUGUAAAUGUGCGCACAUGUGCAUCACUCCAGAAUCACUGUUAAUUUGCUAUACAUUCUUAGCCACUGACAGAAGUGCGCUGUCCCUGCAAGAAAGAAAUCACGUUUGCACUGUACAAA
Molecule: long non-coding RNA, 1482 nt
Organism: Triticum aestivum (bread wheat)
Lineage: Eukaryota; Viridiplantae; Streptophyta; Magnoliopsida; Poales; Poaceae
Exons: 7
Source: RefSeq, a predicted model, not a curated record